Non-coding RNA from Trichonephila inaurata madagascariensis, 72 nucleotides. The record is from the annotation of a GenBank genome assembly. NCBI's taxonomy places the organism in Eukaryota, Metazoa, Arthropoda, Arachnida, Araneae, Nephilidae.
GUCCCUGUAGCGCAUUGGAAGCGCUUUGCACUUAUAAUGCAAAGGUCGUGGAUUCGAAUCCCACCUGGGAUG